This 293-nucleotide ribosomal RNA is filed under the name uncultured bacterium. RNAcentral's name for it is "partial 16S ribosomal RNA". It matches the Rfam family "Bacterial small subunit ribosomal RNA", at positions 505 to 796 of the family's 1533-position model. The record is from RNAcentral.
GUGCCAGCCGCCGCGGUAAUACGGAGGGUGCGAGCGUUGUCCGGAAUCAUUGGGCGUAAAGCGCACGUAGGCGGUCUUUUAAGUCUCAUGGUGAAAGGCUGGGGCUCAACCCCAUGCAUGCCGGGGAUACUGGGAGACUGGAGACAGGCAGAGGCCAGCGGAAUUCCGGGUGUAGCGGUGGAAUGCGUAGAGAUCCGGAAGAACACCGGAGGCGAAGGCGGCUGGCUGGGCCUGAUCUGACGCUGAGGUGCGAAAGCGUGGGGAGCGAACAGGAUUAGAUACCCUGGUAGUCC